GCGAGGAUGGCGGAAUUGGCAGACGCGCUAGGUUGAGGGCCUAGUGAGGGAAACCUUAUGGGGGUUCAACUCCCCCUCCUCGCACCA
RNAcentral lists this transfer RNA (87 nucleotides) under Candidatus Omnitrophota bacterium. RNAcentral's name for it is "tRNA-Leu". It matches the Rfam family "tRNA". From Rfam's summary of the family: Transfer RNA (tRNA) molecules are approximately 80 nucleotides in length. Their secondary structure includes four short double-helical elements and three loops (D, anti-codon, and T loops). Lineage: Bacteria; Pseudomonadati; Candidatus Omnitrophota. The record is from RNAcentral.